Molecule: transfer RNA, 145 nt
Filed under: Arabidopsis thaliana (thale cress)
Lineage: Eukaryota; Viridiplantae; Streptophyta; Magnoliopsida; Brassicales; Brassicaceae
Source: RNAcentral
UUAUGGAUUGUGUAGGAUUGCCUUACCAACUCUUGUUACUUCAUAAUGAAAAAACCAUAUCCAGAAAUUUUGUAACUUGACUCGGUGGUUUUUAAGGAAACUCUUUUAUAGUUUGGGCCUUGGGGCUCAAUGUUUUAUAUGUAAA